AGCCAAUACCGCGUGGGUGAAGAAGGCCUUCGGGUUGUAAAGCCCUUUUGUUGGGAAAGAAAAGCAGCCGGCUAAUACCCGGUUGUUCUGACGGUACCCAAAGAAUAAGCACCGGCUAACUUCGUGCCAGCAGCCGCGGUAAUACGAAGGGUGCAAGCGUUACUCGGAAUUACUGGGCGUAAAGCGUGCGUAGGUGGUUGUUUAAGUCUGUCGUGAAAGCCCUGGGCUCAACCUGGGAACUGCGAUGGAAACUGGGCGACUAGAGUGUGGUAGAGGGUAGCGGAAUUCCUGGUGUAGCAGUGAAAUGCGUAGAUAUCAGGAGGAACAUCCAUGGCGAAGGCAGCUACCUGGGCCAACACUGACACUGAGGCACGAAAGCGUGGGGAGCAAACAGGAUUAGAUACCCUGGUAGUCCACGCCCUAAACGAUGCGAACUGGAUGUUGGGUGCACUUUGGCACGCAGUAUCGAAGCUAACGCGUUAAGUUCGCCGCCUGGGGAGUACGGUCGCAAGACUGAAACUCAAAGGAAUUGACGGAUC
Molecule: ribosomal RNA, 539 nt
Filed under: Stenotrophomonas sp.
Lineage: Bacteria; Pseudomonadati; Pseudomonadota; Gammaproteobacteria; Lysobacterales; Lysobacteraceae
Description: bacterial SSU rRNA
Rfam family: Bacterial small subunit ribosomal RNA
Source: RNAcentral